This 728-nucleotide ribosomal RNA is filed under the name uncultured bacterium. RNAcentral describes it as "bacterial SSU rRNA". It matches the Rfam family "Bacterial small subunit ribosomal RNA", at positions 29 to 764 of the family's 1533-position model. The record is from RNAcentral.
GCGGAUACGUGGCGGCGUGCCUAACACAUGCAAGUCGAGCGGGGACUUGGGAGCUUGCUUCCAAGUUCUAGCGGCGGACGGGUGAGUAACGCGUGAGCAACCUGCCUCAAACAGGGGGAUAACGCAUCGAAAGAUGUGCUAAUACCGCGUAAGACCACAGUGCCACAUGGCACAGGGGUCAAAGGAGCAAUCCGGUUUGAGAUGGGCUCGGCGUCCGAUUAGCUAGUUGGUGAGAUAACGGCCCACCAAGGCGACGAUUUCGGUAGCCGACCUGAGAGGGUGAUCGGCCACAUUGGAACUGAGAAACGGUCCAGACUCCUACGGGAGGCAGCAGUGGCGAAUAUUGGGCAGUGCGCGAAAGCCUGACCCAGCAACGCCGCGUGAGGCGUAGAUGGCUUCGGCCUCGUAAUCCUCUGUCCUAUGGGACGAAGGAAGUGACGGUACCAUAGGAGGAAGCCCCGGUAACUACGUGCCAGCAGCCGCGGUAAUUACGUAGGGGGCGAGCGUUGUCCGGAAUGAUUGGGCGUAAAGGGCGCGUACAGGCGGCCUGCUAAGUCUGGAGUGAAGUCCUGCUUUCAAGGUGGGAAUUGCUCGUGAUACUGGUGGCGGCUGAGUGCAGGAGAGGAAAGCGGAAUUACCGGUGUAGCGGUAUGCGUAGAGAUCGUAGGAACACCAGUGGCCGAAGGCGGCUUUCUGGACUGAAACUGACGCUGAGCGCCUGAUAUGCG